GUGAAUCAUCGAAUUUUUGAACGCAAAUUGCGCUUCCUGGUAUCCCGGGAAGUAUGCCUGUUUGAGGGUCAGUAUUAACAAAAAAUCGGUUUGGUUGCAAAUUGUGACGUUUCCGGAGUUUGGGCUAUCUUAACUUUUUUGGUUAAGGGGCUUAAAAUUGACCUUUUUUGCGCAUUUUUAGACGUACAUAAAUUUUUUUUUAUUCUUCUAUUUUUAUUCCCAAAUUUUAUUAAAAUCCAAUC
Molecule: unclassified non-coding RNA, 242 nt
Filed under: Glomeraceae sp.
Lineage: Eukaryota; Fungi; Glomeromycota; Glomeromycetes; Glomerales; Glomeraceae
Description: partial contains 5.8S ribosomal RNA and internal transcribed spacer 2
Rfam family: 5.8S ribosomal RNA (bases 1-71)
Source: RNAcentral